Molecule: ribosomal RNA, 468 nt
Filed under: uncultured bacterium
Lineage: Bacteria
Description: partial 16S ribosomal RNA
Rfam family: Bacterial small subunit ribosomal RNA
Source: RNAcentral
GACGAACGCUGGCGGCGUGCUUAACACAUGCAAGUCGAACGGACAGGCCCUGCUUUUGUGGGGUGCUCGAGUGGCGAACGGGUGAGUAACACGUGAGUAACCUGCCCUUGACUUUGGGAUAACUUCAGGAAACUGGGGCUAAUACCGGAUAGGAGAUCCCGCUGCAUGGUGGGGGUUGGAAAGUUUCGGCGGUUGGGGAUGGACUCGCGGCUUAUCAGCUUGUUGGUGGGGUAGUGGCUUACCAAGGCUUUGCCGGGUAGCCGGCCUGAGAGGGUGACCGGCCACAUUGGGACGGAGAUACGGCCCAGACUCCUACGGGAGGCAGCAGUGGGGAAUAGUGCACAAUGGGCGGAAGCCUGAUGCAGCAACGCCGCGUGCGGGAUGACGGCCUUCGGGUUGUAAACCGCUUUCGCCUGUGACGAAGCGUGAGUGACGGUAAUGGGUAAAGAAGCACCGGCUAACUACGUG